GGGAGGCAGCAGUGGGGAAUAUUGGACAAUGGGCGAAAGCCUGAUCCAGCCAUGCUGCGUGUGUGAAGAAGGUCUUCGGAUUGUAAAGCACUUUAAGUUGGGAGGAAGGGCAUUAACCUAAUACGUUAGUGUUUUGACGUUACCGACAGAAUAAGCACCGGCUAACUUCGUGCCAGCAGCCGCGGUAAUACGAAGGGUGCAAGCGUUAAUCGGAAUUACUGGGCGUAAAGCGCGCGUAGGUGGUUUGUUAAGUUGAAUGUGAA
Molecule: ribosomal RNA, 263 nt
Filed under: Klebsiella pneumoniae
Lineage: Bacteria; Pseudomonadati; Pseudomonadota; Gammaproteobacteria; Enterobacterales; Enterobacteriaceae
Description: partial 16S ribosomal RNA
Rfam family: Bacterial small subunit ribosomal RNA
Source: RNAcentral